UUAAUUGAAACCAAAGAGAGGUGUACCACUGUUAAUGGUAUCAAUGAAAAUUUUCCAAUUGGG
Molecule: transfer RNA, 63 nt
Filed under: Scolytus schevyrewi
Lineage: Eukaryota; Metazoa; Arthropoda; Insecta; Coleoptera; Curculionidae
Description: tRNA-Asn
Source: RNAcentral